Non-coding RNA from Oryzias latipes (Japanese medaka), 2921 nucleotides. NCBI's taxonomy places the organism in Eukaryota, Metazoa, Chordata, Actinopteri, Beloniformes, Adrianichthyidae. The record is from RefSeq and is a predicted model, not a curated record.
UCUCUCUCUCUCUUUUUUUCUUCUCCUGUCAGUCUUUCGCGCUCGUGCGUCGUUGGCCUCGCUCGUCGCGGAGAACCGGAUCUUUCUGUCGAUUCCAACUUUACUCCCGAAGUUUUUUUUGGUUGAGGAUUCGAGACGAAGAGCGGAUAAACGGAAGGAGCUAAAGGGGAGAAACCUGGAGGAAGUAAAGGGAGGCCAAACGUCGAAGUAACCAUGGAGGUUCCUGGUAUGCAGAGUUCUCAGAUUGAUCCAGAAGAACUUUUCACUAAGUUGGAUCGAAUUGGAAAAGGAUCAUUUGGAGAGGUGUUCAAAGGCAUCGAUAACCGCAGUCAAAGCGUGGUCGCCAUCAAGACGAUUGACCUGGAGGAGGCUGAGGAUGAGAUCGAGGACAUCCAGCAGGAGAUCACGGUGCUCAGUCAGUGCGAUAGUCCGUAUAUCACCAAGUACUUCGGCUCCUACCUGAAGGGCAGCAAACUAUGGAUCAUCAUGGAGUAUCUGGGUGGAGGAUCGGCACUGGACUUGCUGCGGGCGGGGCCCUUUGACGAGUCUCAGAUCGCCACCAUGCUGAAGGAGAUCCUGAAGGGUCUGGACUACCUGCAUUCGGAGAAGAAGAUCCACAGAGACAUCAAAGCUGCAAACGUCCUGCUGUCCGAACACGGUCAGGUGAAGCUGGCGGACUUCGGCGUGGCAGGUCAGCUGACCGACACGCAGAUCAAGAGGGAAACCUUCGUGGGAACGCCGUUCUGGAUGGCGCCUGAAGUCAUCCAGCAGUCUGCCUACGACUCAAAGGCAGACAUUUGGUCUUUGGGCAUCACGGCCAUCGAGCUCGCCAAAGGGGAACCGCCAAACUCAGACAUGCAUCCCAUGCGCGUCCUCUUCCACAUCCCCAAGUCUCCUCCUCCCACGCUGAGCGGAGACUUCUCCAAGAGCUUCAAAGAGUUCACCGAGGCGUGCCUCAACAAAGACCCGGCCUUUCGGCCGACCGCCAAAGAGCUGCUGAAGCACAAGUUCAUCACCAAGCACUGUAAAAAGACGUCUUACCUGAGCGAGCUGAUCGACAGGUACAGGAGGUGGAAGGAGGAAGGUCACAGCGGCAGCAGCUCCGACGACUCAGACAGUGAGUCCAGCAACAAAGAAAACGACAUGCAUCCUGAGUGGUCCUUCACCACCGUCCGGAAGAAGAAGACAGAAGGCAGGAUGGUCCUCAACGGGACGACUCCAGAGCAGCUGAGUAAAUCUGCCAGCCUGAGCACGGUCAUCUCCCCGGUCUUCACUGAGUUGAAGCAGCAACACAAGGAGCAUUCGACGCAACGACUGGCCAUCGAGCAGCUGGAGCACAACAUUCAGCUGGCCGAAGACAUCUGUCCGGGCAUCACAGACAAGAUGGUGACGCACAUCAUCGCCCGGUGCCAGAAAUUCACAACAAACUGAAGACCAGUUGAGAGGAAAAGAAAUUAGGAAGAGACUGUCUUCAUACCGUCGCCCCGCUGGAAAACAGAGGAGAUUUGCUGUGCAUUGAACCCUCUCAACACUCAGACUUAAAUAUUCAGCACACACUAAGAAAGUCAUAUGUACACUAUUUCCUCCUCGCUGCUGGAGGAGGGAACCUUUCUGUUGAAUCCAAAUCAGUCCAAAAAUAAUGUUGUCUUAAUAACAUGACGUGCCUUAACUUCUCCAUCUUCUGUUCAUCCAUUUUUGCGGAAAGGUUUCUUUCUGCUGCAGCAGCUGUAGCCUUUAGUUUGGUGUCAUGACUCGCCCGGAGUCCGUCUGUCUGUUCAGCAGCACUUGAAAUGCUUUCUAUCUCAUAUUUGUGUCGUUUUUGUUUUUACUUUUUACUUCCAGGUCAGGAUGGCCCUUGAAAGGCCAACACAGGGUUCGACUUUGACAUGUGACAGAGGAGAUUCCUCAGUGUUGGCUAAAGAUUAGCGUAGCAGAUAGCUAAAACAGAUGAAGUCUGUCCCUUUAAAACCAGACUGGCCCCGUCGCUAAGGUUUCCCCUUGGAUGAACGACGACGAUCUUGCAGAAAAAUGGAACGUGUGUGGAAAAGAACUCAUUUACCUGUUCAUUUACUUCAUCUUCAGGAUCUUUUAGUUUCUUUUAACAGUGCGGUUAGAGAUGUGAGGGCUGCUUACUUCACUAUUCUCAUUUCUAAAAGCAGAGGUAAUCUUAAAGUGCUAUUCAACACUAUUAGUGAUGUCGUGAUGCCCAAUCUACCUGCUGUCCCCAUCCAUUCAAAUGAUGAUUGUGAUACGUUUUUAUUAUCUUUUAUUGACAAAGUCAGAUCUGUGAGAAGCUCUCUGUGUCACUCAGCUGGUUCUGGUCCUAGUCCACCUCGCCCUGUGAUUUUAGACACGUUCUCACCCGUUUCUCUGCCUGAGCUAGUCAGAUUAGUUGGCACAAUGAAUUCAUCCUGUUGCUCUCUGGACGUGCUGCCAACAUCUCUGCUCAAAGAUGUCUUCCAGUCCAUCGGUCCUUCUGUCCUGUCAAUAAUUAACUCGUCCUUGCUGUCUGGUCAAGUCCCUGAGCACUUUAAGAAAGCUGUCGUCCUUCGUCUCCUUAAAAAACCCGGGCUUGACUCCUCCCUCUUGAGCAGUUACAGACCUAUUUCUAAUCUCCCAUUCAUGUCCAAAAUUUCAGAAAAGGUUGUUGCUAACCAUCUUACAACUGCUUUCCACAGUCAUGGCAUUUUAGAUCAGUUUCAGUCAGGUUUUUGCAGAGCUCUCUCCACUGAAACAGCCCUUCUCAAAGUCACUAAUGACAUCCUGACACAGAGUGAUGCAGGAAAAUGCUGUGCUACUGCUACUGGACUUGACCGCAGCCUUUGACGCUGUCGACCACUAUGUCCUCCUGGACAGGCUAAAAAAUUGGGUUGGGCUAUCUGGUUCCUCAUUAAAAUUGUUCUCCUCUUUUCUGACUGGUA